This 496-nucleotide ribosomal RNA is filed under the name uncultured bacterium. Its description in RNAcentral is "partial 16S ribosomal RNA". It matches the Rfam family "Bacterial small subunit ribosomal RNA", at positions 28 to 507 of the family's 1533-position model. The record is from RNAcentral.
GAUGAACGCUGGCGGCGUGCCUAAUACAUGCAAGUCGAGCGAACAGACGAGGAGCUUGCUCCUCUGACGUUAGCGGCGGACGGGUGAGUAACACGUGGAUAACCUACCUAUAAGACUGGGAUAACUUCGGGAAACCGGAGCUAAUACCGGAUAAUAUAUUGAACCGCAUGGUUCAAUAGUGAAAGACGGUUUUGCUGUCACUUAUAGAUGGAUCCGCGCCGCAUUAGCUAGUUGGUAAGGUAACGGCUUACCAAGGCAACGAUGCGUAGCCGACCUGAGAGGGUGAUCGGCCACACUGGAACUGAGACACGGUCCAGACUCCUACGGGAGGCAGCAGUAGGGAAUCUGCCGCAAUGGGCGAAAGCCUGACGGAGCAACGCCGCGUGAGUGAUGAAGGUCUUCGGAUCGUAAAACUCUGUUAUUAGGGAAGAACAAAUGUGUAAGUAACGAUGCACGUCUUGACGGUACCAAUCAGAAAGCCACGGCUAACUACGUG